RNAcentral lists this ribosomal RNA (399 nucleotides) under Anomaloglossus praderioi. RNAcentral describes it as "LSU rRNA". It matches the Rfam family "Bacterial large subunit ribosomal RNA", at positions 1818 to 2380 of the family's 2925-position model. Lineage: Eukaryota; Metazoa; Chordata; Amphibia; Anura; Aromobatidae. The record is from RNAcentral.
GCCUCUUGAUAAACCAUAAGAGGUCCAGCCUGCCCAGUGACAUUGUUCAACGGCCGCGGUAUCCUAACCGUGCGAAGGUAGCGUAAUCACUUGUCCCUUAAAUGGGGACUAGUAUGAAUGGCCCCACGAAAGCUAUACUGUCUCCUUUCUCUAAUCAGUUAAACUAAUCUCCCCGUGAAGAAGCGGGGAUAAACAUGCAAGACGAGAAGACCCUAUGGAGCUUUAAACAAUUGAAACACUUGCAUUUUAUUUGUAAACCCACAUGAAACUUCACACUUUGUUUCUAGUUUUAGGUUGGGGUGACCGCGGAGAAAAAACUAACCUCCACGCUGAAAGAGUUUUACCUCUAAACAAAAAGCUACAUCUUUAUGUAUUAAUAUAUUAACCUUAAUUGACCCA